CCUACGGGAGGCAGCAGUGAGGAAUAUUGGUCAAUGGACGAGAGUCUGAACCAGCCAAGUAGCGUGAAGGAUGACUGCCCUAUGGGUUGUAAACUUCUGUUAUAUGGGAAUAAAACAGGGUAUGCAGACACUCUUGUAUGUAACAUAUGAAUAAGGAUCGGCGAACUCCGUGCCAGCAGCCGCGGUAAUACGGAGGAUCCGAGCGUUAUCCGGAUUUAUUGGGUUUAAAGGGAGCGUAGGUGGAGUGUUAAGUCAGUUGUGAAAGUUUGCGGCUCAACCGUAAAAUGGCAGUUGAAACUGGCAGUCUUGCGUACAGUAGCGGUGGGCGGACUUCGUUGUGUCGCUG
This 346-nucleotide ribosomal RNA is filed under the name uncultured bacterium. RNAcentral's name for it is "partial 16S ribosomal RNA". It matches the Rfam family "Bacterial small subunit ribosomal RNA", at positions 338 to 681 of the family's 1533-position model. The record is from RNAcentral.